UCCUACGGGAGGCAGCAGUAGGGAAUCUUCCGCAAUGGACGAAAGUCUGACGGAGCAACGCCGCGUGAGUGAUGAAGGCUUUCGGGUCGUAAAACUCUGUUGUUAGGGAAGAACAAGUGCUAGUUGAAUAAGCUGGCACCUUGACGGUACCUAACCAGAAAGCCACGGCUAACUACGUGCCAGCAGCCGCGGUAAUACGUAGGUGGCAAGCGUUAUCCGGAAUUAUUGGGCGUAAAGCGCGCGCAGGUGGUUUCUUAAGUCUGAUGUGAAAGCCCACGGCUCAACCGUGGAGGGUCAUUGGAAACUGGGAGACUUGAGUGCAGAAGAGGAAAGUGGAAUUCCAUGUGUAGCGGUGAAAUGCGUAGAGAUAUGGAGGAACACCAGUGGCGAAGGCGACUUUCUGGUCUGUAACUGACACUGAGGCGCGAAAGCGUGGGGAGCGAACAGGAUUAGAUACCCUGGUAGUCCACGCCGUAAACGAUGAGUGCUAAGUGUUAGAGGGUUUCCGCCCUUUAGUGCUGAAGUUAACGCAUUAAGCACUCCGCCUGGGGAGUACGGCCGCAAGGCUGAAACUCAAAUGAAUUGACGGA
RNAcentral lists this ribosomal RNA (590 nucleotides) under uncultured bacterium. RNAcentral describes it as "bacterial SSU rRNA". It matches the Rfam family "Bacterial small subunit ribosomal RNA", at positions 337 to 917 of the family's 1533-position model. The record is from RNAcentral.